Sorghum bicolor (sorghum) is the source of this 1043-nucleotide long non-coding RNA. RefSeq lists it as uncharacterized. The transcript has 3 exons. NCBI's taxonomy places the organism in Eukaryota, Viridiplantae, Streptophyta, Magnoliopsida, Poales, Poaceae. The record is from RefSeq and is a predicted model, not a curated record.
CUCCUCAGUCCAUUAUUCUAGCCUCCAUUUUCCUGCUGAUGCAUAUAUUCCUCAAACAACUGUUGUGUUAUUCCUGUCUACAAGAGAUGCAGUGCACAAUCUAUGUCCUGUUGUUCAGAUGGACUUCCACUUAGCUAUAAAGAGAUUUUUUAUUCCAAUGCGAGGAUACAAAGGAGCCGAAAAACUGCACUACAAUUCAAAAUACAACCUAAGAUAUAUGUUCGAGAUUCUAUCAUCUGCCAGAUAGCAUAAACCAGGCCUUUCAGUGUUUUCUGUAGUACCUCUACCUAAAGUUAGCAACAAAUUUGUAGUUCAAUAAUCUAGAUCUCCAUGGAAUACUUUGGACUACAAAAUUUGCUCGCAAAUUUGUCCCUACAUUGGAACAUACUAAAUAUUAGUCUCCUACACUGGUAUACUUGAUUCUUACUUCUAAGUUUUGUUCACCAAAUUUUCCAUAUAUACAUAUGUAAUCAGAGCUUCCUACUUAUCACAUAUAUGCCACCUUUUUUUCCUCGUCAGUAUAUAUUGUGUUUCAUUGCAGGUUACCACAAUGACUUUCACUCUUCCCCCCUGUUUAUGUUUGAAGGAAAUGGAAAUAUUGUGGCUGCGUAGAGGAUCCUCGUAUGUAACAAGCCCCUUAUUUGCUGAUUAAAAGGCUGCAGUUUUUGCUUCAGUCUAAGAGUCAUGCAUUGCAUAGCAGAAUCUUGAGUUGUAGACCAAGAAUGAUGCAAUUCAAACACCGCAUAUGAUUGUCAAGGAAAUAUCACAUAAGAUAGGUACUAUGCAUGGGCUGUUGAGCUCGAGAAGCAGGUAAUGGGCUGGUUGUUGUGGUUUCUGAUCCAACUUCUUGCAGACUGAGAAACUCGACAAUGAUAUUACAGAACAAAAAAAAAGCUCUAGAGGCUAGAGAUGGCAAUACUAAUAAGAAUGUGGAAGAACUCAAUACAAUGCUAGAGAAAGUAAGCGUGUGGCUGUGGCUGCGGACUUAUCUUCUUUGCUACAUUAGGCUACUAUAUUUUCUACUUUACUAGCAUUUGCAAUUA